RNAcentral lists this ribosomal RNA (395 nucleotides) under uncultured bacterium. RNAcentral's name for it is "bacterial SSU rRNA". It matches the Rfam family "Bacterial small subunit ribosomal RNA", at positions 505 to 898 of the family's 1533-position model. The record is from RNAcentral.
GUGCCAGCCGCCGCGGUAAUACGUAGGUGGCAAGCGUUGUCCGGAAUUACUGGGCGUAAAGGGCGUGUAGGCGGCCUUUUAAGUCAGACGUGAAAUCUCCAGGCUUAACCUGGAAACUGCGUUUGAAACUGGAGGGCUUGAGGAUCGGAGAGGGCAGUGGAAUUCCCAGUGUAGCGGUGAAAUGCGUAGAUAUUGGGAGGAACACCAGUGGCGAAGGCGACUGCCUGGACGACACCUGACGCUGAGGCGCGAAAGCUAGGGGAGCAAACGGGAUUAGAUACCCCGGUAGUCCUAGCCGUAAACGAUGGGUACUAGGUGUGGGAGGUAUCGACCCCUUCCGUGCCGCAGUUAACACAAUAAGUACCCCGCCUGGGGAGUACGGCCGCAAGGUUGAA